Molecule: long non-coding RNA, 1453 nt
Filed under: Cyanistes caeruleus (blue tit)
Lineage: Eukaryota; Metazoa; Chordata; Aves; Passeriformes; Paridae
Description: lncRNA (ENSCCEG00000013855.1)
Source: RNAcentral
AUGAUCCUUCCUUUAUUAUCCCCCAUCUCCUGCAAUAGAGAUCCCCUUCUGCUUCCUCAUCCUUACAGCUUAGGGAGCUGCAGAAGCAUUUUCAAAGCAGUUUGUGUGUGGAGAAGUGUUCUUGCUUGCUGGUGUUCCUUUUUUUUAAUGUCCCCUGCACAGGCAGGGUCGGGAAUGUUCCUGGUGACGAAGCAGAUCCAUGUGAAUGUUCUGAGGAGAGGGGUACAAGGCAGUGUAGAACAGAUUUAUAACACCGAGACCUGUGGUAGCACCAGUUUUGAGGAGCUGUCAAGCCAGCCCUGUUUUCCAGAGUUCUUUGCAAGGAGGCAGCCCAGCAGGAGGCAGAGCACAGUCCCUGCAGCAGGACAGGAGAGUGGUCCCCUUGUGGGGCUGCAACAUCUGGCAGGUUUGUUUGUGGGAUCUGCCAGCUGCUGUCCCAUGGUCACUGCAGCUCCGAGCCUGUCCCCAGGGCCUGGGCACCUGCAGCUCUGGGCAGAAUUGCCUGAACACAGCUUUUGUUGUGUUUUCAUUUAAACAGCCACACACUUCCCAUCCACACGGUACCCAACGCUCCAGGAGUGCCAUCCCAGCUUCCCUGGGUGUGGCCAGCUGCUGGCACCCAGGAAAGAUCCAGGGGUGCUUUUCCAGCACUGCUGAGCCAGGAGCUCCUGCCAAGCAGGAUUCCUGAGCACUGGGAGCUGUGCUGGGGUGAGGGGGCACUCAGGCUCUCACCACCAGCUUCCCACAGCCCCCCCAGAUCCUGCUGUUAAAGCCAGACCUGGAAUGCUGAGGAGAGGCCACAUGUGACAGCUCUGCCCCUGACUCCCUCUCUGUGUGACUGGAAUUACAGGAGAUCCUUCCAGCUGAACGUUGAGUUCACAUCAUUCUGCUGUCACAGGUGCAUUCCUGCUUUGGAACAGGAAUUUUCCUUUGGGAAUUGCUUCUCUGAAUUCCCUCCCUGUUUUUUACCAGGCCCUUUUGGAUACUUGGUGCUGGAAGUUUCUCUGCCCACCUCUCCUGGCAUCCAGGUCCUGCUCCCUGCAGGGCAGAGUCCAUCCCAUCCUUCCCUUUCCAGCUGGAGGUGCUGUACAUCCUUUCCUCCCUCCUUUGGAACCUUGGUGAAUCCCCCUCUCUUUUUCCAGAGGGAUUCGUGACAUUAUCUGAGGAAUAUUUGAUUUCCCCCCCAACUCCCUCACAGUACCAACUAACUUAAAAAUGAGACCUAUUCAAAAGUGCAGGAGCUUCCUAAAAGGAAAUUAAAAGCAGCUGCUCUAAGGAUGCAGGAGAUGAGAAAGGAGAUAAACCCACCCUAUCUGAAGCUCAGAGCAAUAUAUCACUAAGUGAAAUAAUUCUACAAGGGACCAAAAAGGCAAUAUUCUAACAGCAGAGUGGAAAGAGAGUAUUCAAAAUCUGGGGUUUCAGAGCAAAUAAAGAAACUAUGGCAGAAAAAACA